RNAcentral lists this long non-coding RNA (917 nucleotides) under Piliocolobus tephrosceles (Ugandan red Colobus). Its description in RNAcentral is "lncRNA (ENSPTEG00000023242.1)". The record is from RNAcentral. Lineage: Eukaryota; Metazoa; Chordata; Mammalia; Primates; Cercopithecidae.
CUUGCUGUUUCUGUGGUUGGGAGAGAGGAAGAGGUGGGUGGGAGAGAAGUCUCCAUGGACCAUGUACCUGUCAUACUUGUGGAGCAGGAGCAGGAGAGAGGAGCUGGGGGACACCGAGUGGCCGCCCAGCCAGGUCUCUGGAGUGUGGAGAAUUGCUGAGCACAGCGCGGACUGCUUCCGCCCUGGGGAAAGGCACAUGAGAGAUGGAUGUGGCCGUAGGUACAGUUCCUGCAUUGGCGGCAGAGCAGAGGAAUCCACUGGGCAUGGAGUGAGGACCAGGCAGAGAGGCGGAGAGACAGGAUGGAGAAGGAAACUUCCAGAAGGAGCUACCUCAGCAGUCAGGCGUGAUGAGUUCCGGAGACCUUAAGGCUUAACAGACCCAGCAAUUUCACUCUCCAUCUCUGUGUCCAAGAAGCCCUUCAAGGAAGCAUUCACAAGGAUGUUUAUUGACUCUCGAUUAUGGCAAUUCUGACAGAAAUUGGAAACAACUCAAACGAUUGUUUCAAUCCGGCAAGAAGAUGGAAUAGUCACCCUACAGAACACGAUGCUCAGGCCAGAUUCUGUGGCUCACACCUUUAAUCCCAGCACUUUGGGAGGCCGGGGCAGGAGGAUCUCUUAAGCCCAGAUGCUCCAGGCCAGCCUGGGCAACAUGGAAAGACCCCACCUCUACAAAAAAAAAAAUACACAAAAAAUUAGCGAGGCAUAGCGGUGAGCACCUGUGGUCUCAGCUACUUGGUAGGCCAAGGUGGGAGGAUCACCUGAGCCCAGGAGGUCGAGGCUCCAAUGAGUCAUGAUCGAGCCACUGCACUCCAGCCUGGGUGGCAAAGUGAAACUGUCUCCAAAAAAAAAAAAAAGAAUAUAAAAUUAGAUCAAGGCCCGACAGACACAGUGGCUCACAUCUGUCAUCCCAGCACUUU